GACGAACGCUGGCGGCGUGCUUAACACAUGCAAGUCGAACGGAAAGGCGCUGCUUUUGCGGGGUGCUCGAGUGGCGAACGGGUGAGUAACACGUGAGUAACCUGCCCUUGACUUUGGGAUAACUCCAGGAAACUGGGGCUAAUACCGGAUAGGAGCUCCUGCUGCAUGGUGGGGGUUGGAAAGUUUCGGCGGUUGGGGAUGGACUAGCAGCUUAUCAGCUUGUUGGUGGGGUAGUGGCUUACCAAGGCUUUGACGGGUAGCCGGCCUGAGAGGGUAGCCGGGCACAUGAGUACUAAGAUACGGCCCAGUAGCGUACGUUCGGCAACAGGGGAGAGCAUUGCGCAAUGAGGCGGAGUCAGUUACGACAGUGCCGGGUGCGUAAUAACGUCCUUCUAGUUGUGAACCGCUUUGUACUUAAACGAAGCGAUAGUGACGGUAAUGAAUAAAAAAGCACCGGCUAACUACGUG
Molecule: ribosomal RNA, 468 nt
Filed under: uncultured bacterium
Lineage: Bacteria
Description: partial 16S ribosomal RNA
Rfam family: Bacterial small subunit ribosomal RNA
Source: RNAcentral